CAAAAUUUCAGAUCCAUUUCAAAUAUCAAAUCAUUUGGACAGGAAAUACUUUACAGUUAAUGUUUAACAGGAAUACAACGAAUUACAGGCUUAAACAUACUUCCAUCUAGACUAAACUUGAUAAGGAUUUUUCACCUUCAAACUCAACUCGUCGUGAGAUGAUUAAAACCUUGCGUUCGAAACUAUAACACUAAAAUCGUUCACGAUAUACCUGCUAAUCCUUAGUCGUUAACAACGACAACAAGAUCACCGACGGUCGUAUUUGCACAAUGAAGCACAAUAUAGGUUGAACACGAAUGUUUAUUUAUCGCCUGUAUUUUUUACUCCGCUUGCUUGUCCCGCUCACGAUCCGAACCGGAUAGAAGAAGCCUCGUUAGCCAUGCUAAUCGGUAUCUGUAUCUAUAAUCGUUAUGUGUAGCUGUAUUACUCUUUCGUUUGGCUUUUUUUUUUCCCCCUUUCCACUGCACUUCUUAGUGCUUGUUUUCUCAGUGCUGGUUCUCCUAUCAUUAUUCGUUUGUAUUCUUCCUAAUUACGGGACACGUAUUACUUUGUGAGGCAUCUAAUAACACCGACAAAGUCUCAGUGAGCCUCUGAAGACAUGGCAUAGGGCCCCCGUGCUACUCUUUAUUUAAUGUUAACUAAGUUACAGCUGCUUACUUUAACCGUGAGCGGGAUCUCCUGUGAUUUCCAGCUUUUAAUCUCACGACCUCUAACUCACAGUGAUAUCUUCAAAUACACUAUAGUAACAGCUGUGUCGCCCGAACGUAAUAACGAAGGAACGUCUGUAGAACGUAACACAUGAAAGGUCUUGUUGCUAUAAACGACAUUUCUCUGUCAUUUUCGUUUCAUCCUAAGGCUAUGUAAAGCUUCGCACAUUUUGUAUCAAUCGCUUUGUCACGAAAAAAAGAUGGGCUGGGGGGGGGUUUCUGCUGGAAAUUUCGUAUAUUCUGUAGACUACAGCGUGAUAAUACCUGAAUAUUUCCAUUUUGUUACCCCUUUUGUAACUCCUCCCUACUGUACAGUACACAGUAUUAUAGCUAUUUCCCCAUAUUUUAGGACUAUUGUACCAUUAAAAUACGUUACACUCGUUAAAAUUAUAAAUUUUAAGAUUAAGGUUUAAGAUGUAGGCUUGGUGUCCGAUCUUGGUUCACGUUUGUAGACAUUUUUCAGAUUAGGUUGAUUAACUUAACCAAAGCGACGUUAUUUCUGAUGUCACACUCCACAGUAGUCGUUCUAUGAAAGACCCAGAGGAAAGUAGACACUCAGGGCUUUCCAGUUUUUCAUUCAUUUCUAAAUUUUUUGUACCUAGCCUACUAGGCUCAAAUGUUAUCAUUUUAAUGUGGCAGGUUUAUACGCGUGUUACUAUCGAUGUUAUUGUGUACCAGUGUUAUUGUGGAGAGGUGUGAAUUAUUUGCCCAGCAGGCGGCUCACACCCCUCCCCUUUCCCUUUCCCAUCGCCCUGCUCGCCAGCAGCUAAACACAGAGUCACGAUACUCUACACACAGAAACCCGACAGUGUCCUGACUCAUCUUAUAUCAGAAAUACGGCGAUAAAAUAAUUCAUUUCUUUAUACUGACUGAAACUGCCCGAUAAGUCGAUUUCCAUUCCGCCAGCUGAAGGGAAUACCGGUGUACUGCGAGAAAGGGUUAAAUCAACUGAAAAGAACAGGUGGCAACAUUGCUAACAUGCUAACACACACACACACAAAAAAUCCCAGGGAGAGAGGGGGAAAAAAGAACUUAACCACAAGAAACACUUGUUACAGAAUUAAGAUCGAUGGAUGCCCUUAAAUGAAUGCUCUUAUGCUGCGUCCGAGAUGAAGUUGCAAAUUCCCCACCUACAACCGGUAAAAACCACCGAAAACACCCCUUCAACUUGCAAUUUCAACACGCCAACUUGGGGUCGUCUUUUCAACUACCAGUUCCUCCCCCGUUUACAGACUGACAUCAAAUCGACAUGGCUGCUCACUCUGUGAACAGUGUUCUAUACUUUUAAAUGGGUUUAUAAAGGUCUUGGCUUGCCACACAGUACGUGGUUAAAUCUAUAACACUGAUCACACUAAUCUCUGUUUUGAGAAUCAUCACCAUUAGAGUUAUUAAAUUCCUAUGCUAUUUGCUAUUGUCUCCUGGCUAGCUUGUUGCUAAGCUACUCGCUGUUGUCCACGGUUGUUGCCGUGCUGCAACUUAAGUCCAAAAUGUUGCAUGUUCAGUAUUGUAGAACAGAACGAAGAGUCACUCAGGUCUGUCACUGUAGAAGUGUAUUUAAAGUAGCUUCUUAUGAGAGCUGUAUGUGCUCCGACAGAGCAAACAAAAGAGGCGUCCAUGUUUGUUUUGUUUAUACAUUAUACAUUUACAUUCACUCAUUUCGUAGACGCUUUUAUCCAAAGCGACUUACAAAUGACUUACAAAUUUUCCCGCACUUCACGUAGCGAACAUCCCGAGGUGGGAAAUUACGUUAUUACAACUCGUAACCACGAACGCAGCAAUAUCAUACUGUACAUAACAGUCUACAACUGUACUGAACGAUAUUUCCUAGUGAUGAACCAACUUAGUUGGCGAUAUUUGUAGAACACAUAAAAGUCUUUCUCUCUUUCACAACCGGUGUCCUUUCCCCUUCUGUAAACUGGCUUUACUACAAGGUCAAUUUUAUCUGUGUUCGGUCUGACCGCUGCUUCAGCUAAAAAUGUUUUAGAAAAACAGAAACGUGUCGCAACGUGACGCUCCAGUGCUGAAUGAGCUUUCGAUAAAUAUAUGUGAUUACCCGCUAAGUUUUAUUAUUUAGUCUCAGAGGCAUCAGAGGCUCGAAUCAUGGGAUAUGGAGAGUCUGAUAUCUUUUGUACGCUUUUCUGGCCACAAGCUUCACGAUCCUGAAGGAUCGACUCUCUACAAUAUCAUAUGCUGGUUUCCGGCAGGAAAAACGAAAUUUUGACACAAUAAACAUUUCACAGAUAUAGUCACUGAACUAAUAUCCAGUGCAUAAACUCCUGUGUUUAAAAGUUAUUAAUGUUUGUUGACGGGCUUCAGGAAAAGAUCUGCGGUCGGUCACUAUCCAGAUCAGUCAAAUUGCCUCUUUCUGUGAAAGUAGGAAGAUUUUGGCGGCGUUUAAUGAUAAAAUAAUUUUAUUGAUGUUUGUUGCAGGUAAAAAGGCUUCUCAAAAUUGCGAUACAAUUUGCAGACAUUUUUGUGGGAAACUACUUGAAUUGGCGAAAUUGGCUUUCGCAGUGAUGUCCGUUGCUAAAUGAGACCUUUUAGCUGUACUCAUAUUCGACGCACGUGAAUCGAAGAAGGCUUUGGCUGAACGCGUGUUGUGAUGACGUCGUACGACGCGUCUCGGCCCAAACCUGAAGCUGCUUCCUGUCAGCCUGAGCAGUUAUACUGCUAUACAUUGGGUUUUUUUUUUUUUAAAUAGCCUAUAUAAAAUAAAUAUAAACUUGUUGAUAUUUUAUCACCACUUUACAGACCUAGCUACUGAGAUGUGCAAGAGCUCCAUGAGCAACAGUUUAAUAAACAUACCUGAUGCUAAAUCAGCAACUUUCCCUUCAAACACUGAACAACCGCUGACACUGAAGAGAAGCACACUCAUCCUGAAAGCAGUCAGAAGAGACUUUUUACCCGAGACCAGAGAUUAAUGUCUGAUUUGGAGCCGAGAUACGAGAUCUGAUUUGAAAUCAACACUCGCACGCAAGUUUAAACCUCAGUACGACGCUGAGAUGUAGUCGGAUGGUCCAAAAAAUGUCACUACAGAAGGAGAUUUGACUUUUUCUGGGGGUUUUGACAAGAAAGACAAUAAGCCGACGGCUGCAAAGAUAACCCGACCAAAAAAAUAAAUAAAUAAAUGUGACAUUUUCGAUGGGCAAAACCAGGGUAAUUUUUUUCUUGACUCAUGGAGUGGUGAGAUAGCGUUCAUCUAACGGCCAUUUAGUGUAAAGCGUCUAGUAAUUUCACGAAUGAUGUUACAUUUUAAAGAACAGAUGCACGCAAAUGAAUCAAAAAAUUCGGGUCGACUACCGUGUUCAUAGUUCCGUACUCAAAAAAAAAAAGAGAAAAACCUCCGAAACCAACAUCCGAUACCACGUGAUGUAAGAUUAGUGUGUGUUGCUACGCUAAUGACACGAAAUGACAGAGAUCUGGAUGCUUUUUGAUUGAUGGUGGCAAUCAAAGCAAAGCAGACUGCAAACUAGGUCCUGUGAUAAUAUUAAGAGGAGGAACUAUAGCAUCUUAUUAUAUUCAAACAGUAUCUUUAAUGUAGCGUGCAAGAGUAUCAGUGAGCGUGAUCAUGUUUUUUAAAAAAAUGACCACAUUGUCCUGUGGGUGCACGAAAGUAUUAGUGAGUGUGAAAUGGGCAUGCAGAGAAACUUUCGCUCGCGAGAGUGAGCAGUUCAGCCAGGGUCUACUGUACACUCUGCUUGAGAGUCAAGUGCAAUUCACAUACAGCUGUAAUGAAAAUGAUUCGACCCCCGUUGCAAAUCAGGUUUACUGUCAAAAUGUACAGACUUUCAGCUGUUUGCGAUGAACAAAUCAAACAAAAGCGAUCGAAAUACUUCAGCACGACGAAUGCUUCAAGUGGUUUCCCCGAAUUCAACUGAAAAUGCGACUUAUAAUGAUUUCUCCAGUUUUAAAAUGAUUCAACCCCUUCAUGGCGAGUAUCUUUAGUACUUCGUAGACACCCUUUUGCUGUUACGACCUGCUGCAGACGAGAUGCAGAGCUUCUGGAAGUGUUCCUGAGGAAUCUUAGUCCAUUCCUCAUGAGCAAUGGCCUCCAGUUCAGUAAUAUUCUUGAGUUUGUGUGCUGCAACCGCCUUCUUCAAAUCCCACCAGAGAUUUUCUAUGGGGUUCGAGUCAGGUGACUGUGAUGGCCCUGUAGAAUCUUCCAGGACUUCUGCAAACAAGCCUUGGUGGAAUUUGAGGUACGCUUGGGAUCGUUGUCCUGAUGGAAGUUUCAAUGACGCCUAAGCUUCAGCUUCGUCACAGACGGCAUGAUGUUUUCUCCUAGGAUUUCCGGAGACUUUAACAAAUCCAUCUUACCUUCCACACGCUGCAGGCUUCCAGUGCCAGAUGAUGCAAAGCAGCGCCAGAGCAUCACCGAGCCACCACCAUGCUCGACUGUGGACAGAGUGUGUUCUUUCUUCAUUCUCUUCCUCCAGACAUACCGCUGAUCCAUCGUGCCAAAAAGUUCCAGUUUUGUUUCAUCACUCACAGAACAGAAUCCCAAAUCUUCUGUGGCUUAUUUAUUUGAUUUCGAGCGACUUUUCUUGUGCUUUUGGGUCAGUAGCGGUGAACGUCUUGGAGUUCUGGCAUGGAAACCUGCGUUUAGUACACACCUUACUGUUCUCACUGUAACCUCCGUGCCUGUUACACCAAGUCUUGCUGCAGGUCUUUUGGAGUCACUCGAGGGUUUUUCACAACCUGCCUUCUCAGAAAUCUGGUUGCAGGCGUUGACAGCUUCCUUUUUCUGCCCCGUCUAGGUAUUUCAUAUGUUUUCUACCCCUAGCCAGUUCAGGUAUUUCAUGUGUUCCAGUUCAAGCACACCUGGUGCAACUAAUGAAGCCCUUGAUUAGUCACAUCAGGUGUGCUUUAGACAAGACCUGUUUGACAUAUUUGUGCUGUUGUGAGGGAUUCUAUUCAGGUGGUUGAAUCAUUUUGAAACUGGACAAAUCAGUUCAAAUAAGUCGCAUUUUCAGUUGAAUUCGGGGAAACCACUUGAAGCAUUCGUCGUGUUGAACCAUUCCGAUCGCUUUCCUUUGAUUUGUUCAUCGCAAACAGCUGAAAGUCUGUACAUUUUGACAGUAAACCUGCUUUGCAACGGGGGUUGAAUCAUUUUGAUUGCAGCCGUACCUGUAUGAACUUACAUAAAACUCUGAAUGAAGAGCACAUAAACAUGAACAGAGCCAAAUAUAAUGUUCCAUGUUGUCCCUGAUUGCUUAAUAUUAAGCAGGUUAUUCAUUUCAGUAUCACCAUCAGUUUCGGCAUCGACAACUACCAAAAAACAUACUCAUCAAAAGGUGGCGAGAUCGACUCUUCAAAGAGAUGGCGAGAUUGUAGCCGGCAGUCGAAUGCGCAAAAUUGGUCUGGUUGGGAAGGAUGAUAUACUCUCUCUCUCUCAGUCCUGUCAAUCACAGCAGCACUAGCCAAUCAUGGGUGUCUGUGGGUUCGUGUAUGCGGAAGAGGGCAGACAGCGCUUUCCUCUGAGCGUGCAUGAGCGGCACAGCAUGCGCGGCAGCUGGAAACGAUGCAGUUGACUAACUUCGUGUGUCUCUAAAGAACUAGAUUACUCAUUUACUCUGUCGGAUCAUAGGGGAGAGCUGGGGACUGGUGGGUGGAAACUGGCAGGUGACCAAACUUCGGACAAAUUCGGGGGGGAAAAAAAACGUAGUCAUACUUGUAUGUGGUCUGAAAAGAAAGAAAAAAGCAAAGAUAGCAUUUCGACAGCUCUGAUACACUACUGAAGGUUAAAAGGAACCAUUUUAGAUCAGAUUUAAAACAAUCCUGCUAUAAAAUCGUUUAUGACUCGCCCUCCUGCUGUGGUUUCAUAACAAACUCUGAACGUAUAAAUACAAACAGUGAUACAGGCUUAUCAAAACACUCAUCGUACCAUCGACGUGUCACACUGUCCACCAUGACUCGUGAAUAUAAAUACGCCCCUGACAUUUCAGUCUCCAAAAGGAAUUCCUUCCGUUUUAUAAUGUUUUUACUUUGAGUUAAUUGACUGCAGCAACAUGUUGUUGUUGUUGUUGUUGUUAUUAAUGGUGUUAUCAGUGUUGGAACGCUUCCAGUUUUUGCAGGUCACUGUAACACACUGUAGUUUUAUCUCAAACCCGGAUUGCCUGCUCCAUUAUCACCCUCCCACACGCACCGCUUCCAGCAGACUGGGUUUCAGAAGUAAGCUGUCACCAGCCGUAUAGUGUACUAAUGACUUAUCUGGGUGUUCAAAAGUGACAAACCUUCUCCACUGUGUCUAUCACACUUCCAGCCCAUAUAUAUUCCAUAUAUAUAUAUAUACACAUUCAUAUAUAAAUAGUCCUGUAGAGGUCAAGACACGAGUGACGGAUGUGUUUCUAGAUGCGAGUGAACUUACAGCAUGACAUCAUGCUAAAAACAAGAAUAACGAUGAUGUCGUCGUAAAAUGUUUCCUUAAUUUAGCGGAUGUGGUUAACAGCUACUUACAUACAGAAAAUUUGACCAUCCGAGUAAAAUGUGUUCUUCUUACGUUCGGAAGCCUGAAAAGCAUCAGAAGACAACCUGAUGUCAUUUUCAUUCGCCGUCAAUCGAGGAAAAUGAGUUCGGACAGCUUUUUUAGGCCGAUAAAUGAAGCCCUUAGGACAGAAACGUGUAGCAGAUGGAAACGAAGAAGAUAUUUAAAUCACACUUCCAGAGAAAUUCCAUGUAAUGACACGAUCCUGAAAGAAGCAUCGAUCCCCUGACUCCUAAAAUCCAAAUUUACAACCGACUGUCUGUCAUCUUGCUAACGAGUCAUUACCGUCAACGAUCGUAACAUCUUCCCGUCUUAAUCCUGCUCUCUUGAAGGCGAUGUGUGACGUUCUCAAGUCCAGCCUGCUGCCUCGCUUCUACCACCAGUCCAUCUGAUUACACUUACUAUACUAUAUGUAGAAUCCAGACUGGGGAUCAGAUACUCACUGACGGAUAUCAGUCCGAUCUAUAAACCCGAAGAGUACUUUUUCUAUAUUGUUGGCUGGAGAAAAAAAAAAAAUGCAUUCGAUGCGAAAAACGAGACUUAUCGUGUCCUAAAUCCAUCAAUCUUCCACUGCCUGUCAUCGGGUCAAUAACAAAAGUUCCUCUGAAUAUUUUUUCAUACAUCAAUGAUGCAGAAACCUUUCCAGUGCUGUUUGAAUCUUAUUUCUGGAGAGCACUCUGUGAUCGUGACAUUCUCCAGACAAUCCUGCCAUGACGGAACUGCACUUUAUCAACCUACCGAGUACCACCUGUUGAUCGGAUUAUAUUUAUACAGGUAGAAUCGGAGUCUGUGAUUAUGGUUAUUAGCCCCGGUAAAAGCCCUACAUCUUCAUAUAUUGUUAGAAAACAAUAUUGAUACUGAAAGAAUAUUGAUCCCCUGCUUCAUAAAUCAUCACUUAUAAUAUGAAUGAUCUUAGUAACAGGUUUAUUAACGACUUAGUGUUUUAAAUAUAGUAUAUUUCAAAAACUUUUCCAGCGUUAGUUUAUUACUUCUUCUUAUUAUUAUUAUUAUUAUUAUUAUUAUUAUUAUUACAACACUUUGUUUGCGCAGCUGAUGAAGGAAUUUGGUCCGAAACAUCUUGUUUACCUGGAAACUUUGUGUACUACGCCUAACUACGCAGAUUUCCAGGCCUGCACUUGAUCACGCUUCCACCUGUCGAUCAGAUCAGAUACUUUGAUUCUGAUUUAAAUCACAUAUUAUGAGUAGGUGAGCAUCUGAUUUGAGAUUUUUACUCCUGGAAAUCUUUUUCAGUCCUGCUAAAAGCCCUCCUGUUUCUAUAUUGUUGGAAAGAAAACGCGAUGCUGAAGGAAUAUCGAUCAAUCCCCUGCCUGUUUUAUUGAUACAUCCCAAUUUACAGCUCACUUUCAGCUUGUUGACUAUUAGUUAUCUUAAAUAUAUAUUUCAAAAACCAUUACAGUUAUACAUCAUAUUAUUAGUUCUUCCUCUCAUUAUUAUUAUUAUUAUUAUUAGUAGUAGUAGUAGUAGUAGUAAUAUACUUCGCCUGAACAGCUGAUGAAGGACGUCGCGCACUACUAUUAACUUUUACUCCAUCGAUAUGUUUCGAAACAUCUCUAUUAUUUCUGGAGAUAGACUUCAGGACUGCGCUUUAUCAGCCUUCUACCUGUUGAUCCGAUUAUAUUUAUACACGUAUAAUCAACGUUUGGGGUUAGACACUUUAGGUAUGAUUUUAAUCUCAUAUAUUAACAGUUGAGCAUCUAAUUUAAGAUUUAUCCACAUAGAUGAAUUCUUUUUUUAAUCAAUCCAUUGCCUGAAAAAUCCCAAUUUACAGCUCGCUGUCAUCAUAUUAAAGGGUAAUUUGCUUGAAUAGUUCACGCAAAUAGUUCCAGCUUUAGUUUAUUAUUAUUUCUUCUCAUUUAUUUAUUUAUAUUAUUAUUAUUACACAUUACUUGCACGGCUGAUGGACCUUUGUCAGAAUCACCUGGUUUCAAUGGAAACUUUGUGUUCCAUGCCUUAAAUAAAUAAAUAAAUAAAUAAAUAAAUAAAUAAAACUGCACCAGCUUCACUGUAUUACUAUUUCUGGAUAAAUCUUGGAGGUUUCCGGGACUGCUGUUUCUCAGCCUUCCACUUGUUGAUCGGAUUAUAUUUCUGCAGCUAUAAUCCGAGUUUGCUUUGCACAGCUCAUGAAGGACUUUUUUUUUCUUUUUUUUUAAAAUCCAAAACAUCCUGUUUUCCCUCGAAACGCUCUGUACUACGCCUAACUUUUACUACAUCUACAUCUCCAGGAUCUCCAGGACUGCACUUUAUCAGCCUCCCUACCUGUUGAUCAGAUUAUAUUUAUACCGUUAUAAUCCGAGGCUGGGAUCAUACACUUUAGCUAUGAUUUGGGUCUUGUAUAUGAACUCUCUGAUUUGAAGAUUUUUCCACCUGGAAAUCUUUAUUAGUCCUUGUGAAAAGUUGACUGUUCCGAUAUUUUUGGCAGGAAUACGAUCCUUUUUAAUAAAUCCCAAUUUAUAGCUCGCUGUCAGUUUAUUACACUUAAAUUACUUUAAUUUACACCACAUUUCCAUGUGUAGUUUAUUAUUAUUUCUUCUUCUUGUUAUUGUGAGUAUUAUUAUUAUUAUUAUUAUUAUUUACACCUUGCUUACACAGCUGAAGGACGUUUUCAUCCAAAACAUCUUGUUUUCUCUGGAAUCUUUCUAUACUACACCUAACUUUUACAACAUCUACAUCUCCAGGACCGUAUUCCCUGCUGAAAUAAUAAAUAAAUAAAUAAAAAAAACAGAAACCAUAGCAGAAAUUCUAAUGGUUUCCACUACAAAUACCAUUACAAACCAUUACCAUUAUUGGUCCUUAAUGGUAUCCACUAGACAUAACACCCCACCAAUAAAAGGCCAUGUCCAGUAGAGUACAUGACCAGUAGAGACCCACAGGGACCAUUACAGUUUCCAUUCAAACCAAUACAAUUCCCAGUAUAACCAUUAAACCCAUUACAAAUUCUAUUUUUUUUGUCUUCAUUCUUUCAGGAGGGCAUUUAUCUGCUUCCCCACCUGUUGACCGGAUUAUAAUUCCCACAGGUAUAAUCCGAGUUUCCUGAUCAGACACUUUGGCUACAGUGUCUCAGUUACACCUGCUCGUCUUGGUGUGAAGGUUCAUAAAUACCAUCCAGGAUAUUUGAGAAGUUCCUGAACAUGUGGAGUGAAGCUUGGGAAGAGAACGUACAGAAAGUGUGGAGAUAGAGAGAGGAGGAGGAGGAGGAGGAAGAGGAGGAGGAAGAGGUUUAGAUAAAAAGUAGAAGGAGAAAUAAUCCUCCAUGCAAGACAGACAUACAGCAGGACCUGAACUCACCGUUAGAUUAGACCUGGUCUGAUCAGCACCUACUUUCUAACACUGAACAACACACAGUAAAGUCUUUCAAAUCUCCUUUAAUUGAUGGCAUGAUGAUGAAUUAAUCCUGUAGUUUGUUUUCUUUAUUUUAUUUAUAUAUCCAGAAGGGAUUCCCUGUGAGUGUCACGGUUAUUCUCCUCCUUCUUCUUCUUCUUCUUCUUCUACUCUCUCUCUCUCUCUGCACUGACAGCCAGCCACCUGAGUUUCUUCUUGCCUUUACUCUCCUCCUCUCUCUCUCUCUCUCUCUCUCUCUCUCUCUGUUCCUUCUCGACGACGUUAUUUCGUUAAUAAAUAAAUAAAUAAACAGACACACACAGCACUACUUACCCAAGCGACCCGGAGCCCCUCGCGGACGCGGCCGCAAAUUUACGGCGGAGUAAAAUAAAUAAAUAAAUAUCGAUUUUCUCUUUAAAAACCUACUUAUAUCGCUGUUGGUCGACCUCAGCGCUUCCACCAGCGGUGACGCAGGCAUGACGACACGCUCAUUUGCAUACCGGUUACGCUAUGCGCGCUCUGAUUGGUCGCGCCGUUUUGAAUCGCAAAAAUAAAACAUGCAACGAAAAAAAUGAAAACCUCCAGUUUUGAUCCCGGAAAAGCUUGCCCAGUGUUUCCUACUGCGCUGUUUAAACUCAUCCCGGAUAGUUUUCGUUCAUUAAAAAUCUUUCGAUGUAUUAGAAUUCAAAAUACAGAAGCGUUAAAAACGGGGCCAACAAAAUGG
Ictalurus punctatus (channel catfish) is the source of this 11254-nucleotide long non-coding RNA. NCBI's taxonomy places the organism in Eukaryota, Metazoa, Chordata, Actinopteri, Siluriformes, Ictaluridae. The record is from Ensembl.